CAUAUCAUAAACAUUCUAGGUGCCUUUGUGAGAACAAGGGGUAACAGGGAAUCGGGUGAAAAUCCCGAGCGGACCCGCCACUGUAAAACAGAGUUUUCUUUCAUAGUGCCACUCAAAUAAUACGUUUGGGGAAGGCGAACGAAAGCGUUAAUCUGUAAGUCAGGAGACCUACCUAGUUUUGAACACCAUC
This 190-nucleotide non-coding RNA is filed under the name Paenibacillus sp. Lineage: Bacteria; Bacillati; Bacillota; Bacilli; Caryophanales; Paenibacillaceae. The record is from RNAcentral.